GACGAACGCUGGCGGCGCGCCCGACACAUGCAAGUCGAACGGGAUCUUUUAGGAAAGCUUGCUUUCUUGGCUGAUCUAGUGGCGGACGGGUGAGUAACACGUGAGCAACCUGCCGAGAAGAGGGGGAUAACCCGUGGACACGGGCGAUAACACCGCAUAAUCUAUCGAGACGGCCUCGUUUUGGUAGCAAAGGAGAAAUCCGCUUUUUGAUGGGCUCGCGGCCGAUUAUGUAGUUGGUGAGGUAAGGGCUCACCAAGCCGACGAUCGGUAGCCGGACUGAGAGGUUGAACGGCCACAUUGGGACUGAGACACGGCCCAGACUCCUACGGUAGGCAGCAGUGGGGGAUAUUGCACAAUGGGGGAAACCCUGAUGCAGCGACGCCGCGUGAGUGAAGACGGCCUUCGGGUUGUAAAGCUCUGUUGACGGGGACGAUAAUGACGGUACCCGUCGAGGAAGCCACGGCUAACUACGUGCCAGCCGCCGCUGUAACAC
This 493-nucleotide ribosomal RNA is filed under the name uncultured bacterium. RNAcentral's name for it is "bacterial SSU rRNA". It matches the Rfam family "Bacterial small subunit ribosomal RNA", at positions 28 to 526 of the family's 1533-position model. The record is from RNAcentral.